This 246-nucleotide ribosomal RNA is filed under the name uncultured bacterium. RNAcentral's name for it is "partial 16S ribosomal RNA". It matches the Rfam family "Bacterial small subunit ribosomal RNA", at positions 333 to 570 of the family's 1533-position model. The record is from RNAcentral.
UUGUUCCUACGGGGGGCAGCGGUAGGGAAUCUUCGGCAAUGGACGAAAGUCUGACCGAGCAACGCCGCGUGAGUGAAGAAGGUUUUCGGAUCGUAAAACUCUGUUGGUAGAGAAGAACGUUGGUGAGAGUGGAAAGCUCAUCAAGUGACGGUAACUACCCAGAAAGGGACGGCUAACUACGUGCCAGCAGCCGCGAUAAUACGUAGGUCCCGAGCGUUGUCCGGAUUUACUGGGUGUAAAGGUCGU